UUAAUUGAAGAGUUUGAUCAUGGCUCAGAUUGAACGCUGGCGGCAGGCCUAACACAUGCAAGUCGAGCGGCAGCGACAUAAACAAUCCUUCGGGUGCGCUUAUGGGCGGCGAGCGGCGGACGGGUGAGUAAUGCCUGGGAAUAUGCCCUGAUGUGGGGGAUAACCAUUGGAAACGAUGGCUAAUACCGCAUAAUCUCUUCGGAGCAAAGAGGGGGACCUUCGGGCCUC
This 228-nucleotide ribosomal RNA is filed under the name Photobacterium jeanii. Its description in RNAcentral is "partial 16S ribosomal RNA". It matches the Rfam family "Bacterial small subunit ribosomal RNA", at positions 1 to 216 of the family's 1533-position model. Lineage: Bacteria; Pseudomonadati; Pseudomonadota; Gammaproteobacteria; Vibrionales; Vibrionaceae. The record is from RNAcentral.